UGGUCUCUGUUACAGGUGUAAAAUAAUGCUGACACCAUUAAAACCAAAAUCAUAGCCUAAAGUAUUCUUGAAAAAAUAAAAAAAAUGUAAAUAUAAAAUAAUUAUUAAAAGGAUUGUCUGCCUGUGAAGAGAAAAAGUAAGCAUAAAGUUUAUUUAAUAAAAGGUUUGAAUACAAACUCAUGUUCAACAUACACAAUUCAAAAAUACAUUAUUCUAACAACUUUGAAAAAUAUUGAUAUAAAUUAAAUAAAUUCAAUACAAUGGCCAACUUUUUUCAAUAUGAUCAAUGCAAUGAUGAUAUUAAAGUGCAAGAGAAUAAAAAAAGGUCUUCGGCUUUAUCGAAGUUUGAAAUGAACGAAUGGACUUUCAGCGUAUGCCUUUUUUUAAUAUCAUCAGCAAUAGUGCUCGGAAAAAUCUACCUCCUCUAUGCCUCUAAUAAUCAAAAAUAAUUACAUAAUAUCGAAAGAAUUAUAUUUUUCUAAUUUUCAAGAUGUCUUCUUACUGCCAAAUGAUGUUAUAUCUCAUACUAGAGAUGUUUUCCAAAAAAAUAAAUGGUUUUUUAAAGCCCUCUGCAGUGGACUUGGAGUCACAGCAUUCACUUGGUUCAUUAUUUAUAAAGAUAGUUAUAUUCCUGGAAUUAAUCCCCCAUCGCCAUUUAGCCCUUCUAAAAAAAAAAUCAGACAUUGUGAUGAAUCAAAAGUUCCCUUAAAUUACUUAAUGGGUAUAGUAAAUGGAGUUCUUAUAUUUAUAUACAUGUGUCUUUGAUAUGACAGCACGAAAACAAAUAUUCAUCAUGACUUAAAUUAUUUACUUAUUAUUGUUAUGCUUAUUAUUUUAUUUAAUAUUCAAUAUUAAUUAUAUAUAA
This 865-nucleotide unclassified non-coding RNA is filed under the name Chelonus insularis. RNAcentral's name for it is "aDP-ribosylation factor-like protein 6-interacting protein 6, transcript variant X1". The record is from RNAcentral. Lineage: Eukaryota; Metazoa; Arthropoda; Insecta; Hymenoptera; Braconidae.